CGGGACGGGUGAGUAACGCGUGGGUAACCUACCCUGUACACACGGAUAACAUACCGAAAGGUAAUGCUAAUACAGGAUAAUAUAUUUGAGAGGCAUCUCUUGAAUAUCAAAGGUGAGCCAGUACAGGAUGGACCCGCGUCUGAUUAGCUAGUUGGUAAGGUAACGGCUUACCAAGGCGACGAUCAGUAGCCGACCUGAGAGGGUGAUCGGCCACAUUGGAACUGAGACACGGUCCAA
This 237-nucleotide ribosomal RNA is filed under the name uncultured bacterium. RNAcentral describes it as "partial 16S ribosomal RNA". It matches the Rfam family "Bacterial small subunit ribosomal RNA", at positions 100 to 334 of the family's 1533-position model. The record is from RNAcentral.